AUUGAACGCUGGCGGCAGGCCUAACACAUGCAAGUCGAACGGUAGCAGAGAGAGCUUGCUCUCGGGUGACGAGUGGCGGACGGGUGAGUAACGUCUGGGAAACUGCCCGAUGGAGGGGGAUAACUACUGGAAACGGUAGCUAAUACCGCAUAACGUCGCAAGACCAAAGUGGGGGACCUUCGGGCCUCACACCAUCGGAUGUGCCCAGAUGGGAUUAGCUAGUAGGUGGGGUAAUGGCUCACCUAGGCGACGAUCCCUAGCUGGUCUGAGAGGAUGACCAGCCACACUGGAACGGAGACACGGUCCAGACUCCUACGGGAGGCAGCAGUGGGGAAUAUUGCACAAUGGGCGCAAGCCUGAUGCAGCCAUGCCGCGUGUAUGAAGAAGGCCUUCGGGUUGUAAAGUACUUUCAGCGGGGAGGAAGGCGGUGAAGUUAAUAGCUUCACCGAUUGACGUUACCCGCAGAAGAAGCACCGGCUAACUCCGUGCCAGCAGCCGCCGUAA
This 504-nucleotide ribosomal RNA is filed under the name uncultured bacterium. RNAcentral's name for it is "partial 16S ribosomal RNA". It matches the Rfam family "Bacterial small subunit ribosomal RNA", at positions 29 to 523 of the family's 1533-position model. The record is from RNAcentral.